GAUGAACGCUGGCGGCGUGCCUAAUACAUGCAAGUCGAGCGAACAGACGAGGAGCUUGCUCCUCUGACGUUAGCGGCGGACGGGUGAGUAACACGUGGAUAACCUACCUAUAAGACUGGGAUAACUUCGGGAAACCGGAGCUAAUACCGGAUAAUAUAUUGAACCGCAUGGUUCAAUAGUGAAAGACGGUUUUGCUGUCACUUAUAGAUGGAUCCGCGCCGCAUUAGCUAGUUGGUAAGGUAACGGCUUACCAAGGCAACGAUGCGUAGCCGACCUGAGAGGGUGAUCGGCCACACUGGAACUGAGAAACGGUCCAGACUCCUACGGGAGGCAGCAGUAGGGAAUCUUCCGCAAAGGGCGAAAGCCUGACGGAGCAACGCCGCGUGAGUGAUGAAGGUCUUCGGAUCGUAAAACUCUGUUAUUAGGGAAGAACAAAUGUGUAAGUAACUAUGCACGUCUUGACGGUACCUAAUCAGAAAGCCACGGCUAACUACGUG
This 497-nucleotide ribosomal RNA is filed under the name uncultured bacterium. RNAcentral's name for it is "partial 16S ribosomal RNA". It matches the Rfam family "Bacterial small subunit ribosomal RNA", at positions 28 to 507 of the family's 1533-position model. The record is from RNAcentral.